Molecule: ribosomal RNA, 326 nt
Filed under: uncultured eukaryote
Lineage: Eukaryota
Description: partial 18S ribosomal RNA
Rfam family: Eukaryotic small subunit ribosomal RNA
Source: RNAcentral
CCCUUAGAUGUUCUGGGCCGCGCGCGCUACACUGAUGCAUUCAACGAGUCUAAAACCUGGUCUGAUAGGGCUGGGUAAUCUUUUGAAAGUGCAUCGUGAUUGGGAUAGAUGAUUGCAAUUCUUCAUCUUCAACGAGGAAUUCCUAGUAAACGCAGAUCAUCAAUCUGCAUUGAUUACGUCCCUGCCCUUUGUACACACCGCCCGUCGCACCUACCGAUUGGAUGGUCCGGUGAAGCCUCGGGAUUGUGGUUCUUGCCGCUUUAUUGUGGCGUGACCGCGAGAACUUGUCUAAACCUUAUCAUCUAGAGGAUGGUGAAGUCGUAACA